Long non-coding RNA from Oryzias melastigma (Indian medaka), 1358 nucleotides. RefSeq lists it as uncharacterized. The transcript is spliced from 2 exons. NCBI's taxonomy places the organism in Eukaryota, Metazoa, Chordata, Actinopteri, Beloniformes, Adrianichthyidae. The record is from RefSeq and is a predicted model, not a curated record.
UUUUUUUUAAAAAGAAAGAAAAAAUAAUUGAUUAAAAUGAUUUGUUGUUUAAAAAACAGAUCAGAAAAUGAGAGCUGUGAGUCUUAAAAUGGUUCAAGCAGGACCUGACAUUAUCUGAUUAUGAUGGAUUUACAUUUUGCUGACUGGACAGUUAAACUUUUCCUCAAUAUCAUCCCAUAUUUGCACGCUGUGGGUUUCAGAAUCAGUUUAUGUUACUUGAGGACCUUUGAUAAUGCUGUUCUCUGUGUUAUUUCUCUGUUCCCAAACAGAACACAACUGAUAGGACUUUGGCAAACGUCAUACCAGCCAAUGUCCUUUGACUGGACCCACCGCUCAUUAAAGACGUUGGUGUCUCAGAACCAGAAGGGACCUGGCCAAACACAAACACACCCUUGUGGGAGGUUUAUAGGGGAUAAAAGUGCGGAGAAGAAAGAGCUGAGAGAAAAAUCUGGGUUGAAGAAAAAUCCAGAUUAUCAGACCUGUUAAAGGGGUUUAGGCAAAUAAAAAGUCUCACACUUGCCACUGGAGUUUCUUCUUAUCUAAGCUCCCGUCAAGAGGGGGGGCAUAUGCAGCAGCUUCUCUGGGUUUCCACUCCGCUUUGUUUUGUCUUCCCUCUGAGAUAAUGCUUUGUGUAUCUCAGUCUUGGCGCCAAGCACAAAGUGAUGAUGCAAAAACAUGAACAGGUUGCAGGUGAACAGUUUCACUCUUGACUAGAGAAGUCCAUGGCUGUGUUCUGGUAAUUAAUGGUUAAAGUAGUUCCUUGUCUGUCAGGAAGUGGAAGUUUAUUUGUCACAUAUAAAGCUUAGGUCAAUAAGUCGACUAUCAGUGUAACUUUAGGUUAAAAGAGAAAAAUGCUGCACAAUCCUACAUAAUUUUGAUCUGAAGUACACCAGCAAAUUUACAACAAAUUCACAGACUGAAGAUUUCAUUAACAAUUUAACCACCCAAAAAAAAUCACUAAAAAAGUAUUUUUUUUCUGCGACUUAUUCCCGUGGUACGGAGCCCCUAAAGGGACAUCGAGGUUAAGAAAAAAUGUAAGAAUUUUUUUUUUUUUAAUUGAAGUAAAAAAAAUGCUGGUUAGUAACUGGUGCACACCAUGUUCUAUCCAGUUUUUUUGUUUUUUUCCAUUUUUUGAAAAAAAUGUAUAUCCAGGUUAGUAACUGGCGCACACUUGAUAGUAACUAAAAAUUAUUUAUUUUUUUUCUCAAAAACAUUAAGUAAAUUCUAGUUACUAUCCAGUUACUAUCCAGAUUUUUUUAACUUCAAUUUUUAGAAAGAAAAAAAGUAUGUUUUGGUUAGUAACUGUUGUGCACCAGAUAGGAAAAAAGAUAAAAAAAAUUUAAAUAAAAAAAAAAAAA